GACGAACGCUGGCGGCGUGCCUAAUACAUGCAAGUCGAACGCUUCUUUCCUCCCGAGUGCUUGCACUCAAUUGGAAAGAGGAGUGGCGGACGGGUGAGUAACACGUGGGUAACCUACCCAUCAGAGGGGGAUAACACUUGGAAACAGGUGCUAAUACCGCAUAACAGUUUAUGCCGCAUGGCAUAAGAGUGAAAGGCGCUUUCGGGUGUCGCUGAUGGAUGGACCCGCGGUGCAUUAGCUAGGUGGUGAGGUAACGGCUCACCAAGGCCACGAUGCAUAGCCGACCUGAGAGGGUGAUCGGCCACACUGGGACUGAGACACGGCCCAGACUCCUACGGGAGGCAGCAGUAGGGAAUCUUCGGCAAUGGACGAAAGUCUGACCGAGCAACGCCGCGUGAGUGAAGAAGGUUUUCGGAUCGUAAAACUCUGUUGUUAGAGAAGAACAAGGACGUUAGUAACUGAACGUCCCCUGGCGGUAUCUAACCAGAAAGCCACGGCUAACUACGUG
RNAcentral lists this ribosomal RNA (508 nucleotides) under uncultured bacterium. RNAcentral's name for it is "partial 16S ribosomal RNA". It matches the Rfam family "Bacterial small subunit ribosomal RNA", at positions 28 to 507 of the family's 1533-position model. The record is from RNAcentral.